AAAAAUGUGAGUUUCGUGAUCUAGGCUGUGGACAGGGAAUCAUCAUUUUUGUUUUACUAUAGUCAACGCAAAACGCUUGCGUUUAUUUUCUAUUUUAAAGGUAAACUUGAUGUCUAAAUUAAAAGGUAACGUUAAGUGGUUUAACGAAACUAAAGGUUUUGGUUUUAUCACUCCAGAAGAUGGCAGCAAAGAUGUAUUUGUACACUUUUCCGCUAUUACAUCAGAAGGCUUUAAAACCCUUGCUGAAGGUCAAAAAGUAGAGUUUGAAGUUACUGACGGCGCGAAAGGGCCAUCUGCUGCAAACGUUGUCGCUAUCUAAUUAACGACUUCUUUGAGACAGUAAAAACCCGUUGUUUAACGGGUUUUUAUAU
This 371-nucleotide unclassified non-coding RNA is filed under the name Proteus penneri. Its description in RNAcentral is "cspA". It matches the Rfam family "cspA thermoregulator", at positions 99 to 428 of the family's 428-position model. The record is from RNAcentral. Lineage: Bacteria; Pseudomonadati; Pseudomonadota; Gammaproteobacteria; Enterobacterales; Morganellaceae.